This is a long non-coding RNA of Cyprinus carpio (common carp), 996 nucleotides long. RefSeq lists it as uncharacterized. The transcript is spliced from 3 exons. The record is from RefSeq and is a predicted model, not a curated record. NCBI's taxonomy places the organism in Eukaryota, Metazoa, Chordata, Actinopteri, Cypriniformes, Cyprinidae.
CACAACGAAUACAACUGUCGUAAUCCAAGAGGAGAAAAAUUGGAGUGAUGCUUUAAACUACUGCAGACUGUAUCACACUGAUUUGGCUACAAUAGAAAACCAAGAUGAGAACGCAAAACUGAAGCAGCUGCUCAUCAUCAAUAAUGUGGUUAAAGCUUACAUGGGUUUAUACAGAGACACCUGGAAGUGGUCAGAUCAGAGUAGCUCUGAAUUCAGAGCCUGGAUGUUUUCUGAGCCCAAUAAUUUCGGGGGAACUGAAUUUUGUGCGCAACUGUAUAUGCCAGAUGGACAAUGGGGGGAUAAAUCAUGUUCAUUGAAACUCAGAUUUGUCUGUGGCACUGCAAAGAAGAUUCAAAUACUGAGAAUAAACCUACAGUCACCACUGAACCUUAAUGUCAGUGAUUUUAACAGCACCAUUUUACAACAGUUGCAGCAAAAGCUGAGGAAACUGGGACUGCCGAUUGACACCAACCUGACAUGGAGGACACAACCUGAUGGACAAAUAUUUCACACCCUGAACACAGCAAACACAAUAAAUGACUAGCGAUGUAAAACCGUAACAUGAAUAUUUCUCCGACGAAUAGCUUAGAAUGUGUUCAAAUUAAUUGGUAGGACUUGUAUGUGGUGUAAAUUAGCAUAAUUUCUAAUAAAUAUAGUUUUGUAUGGUUGUGUUCAGUAAAUUUUAAUAGUGCAAUAAGUAAUGAAGUUCUACCUGAUUAAAUGAAGUUGCUUGCUAUAGUGCCAACAUCUUAAGAAAUUAUUUUCUAAAAUAUUUAUAUUUCUAUCUGAAUAAUCUGUUUGACAUGUAUUGUUUGACAUGUAUUGUUGACAUUCUGUUCUUAGGUCCAACUGAGUCAACAAAGGUGGUGGUGGCAAAUAAAAUGAUUUGUGAAGUAGCAGCAUACUGUGGCCUGUUUAUGUUCUGUUGUUUUACAGCACUGCAUCACAUUGGAUUUAAUUUGUUGACAUUUUUGCCAUCAUCUCAUGAUAUCCCUG